GUUUUAAUAAUUUAAUAAAAAUAUUGGUCUUGUAAACCAAACUUAAGAUUACCCUUUUAAAACA
This 64-nucleotide transfer RNA is filed under the name Philolithus actuosus. RNAcentral's name for it is "tRNA-Thr". Lineage: Eukaryota; Metazoa; Arthropoda; Insecta; Coleoptera; Tenebrionidae. RNAcentral also lists the same sequence under 3 other names. The record is from RNAcentral.